CAAUAGCGUAUAUUAAUGUUGUUGCAGUUAAAAAGCUCGUAGUUGGAUUCCUGGCACGGGGUAGCCGGUCCGCCUUGCAAAAGGUGCGCACUGAGCGGCCUCGGCCAUCCUUGCGAUGGUCUAUCCUGGCAUUCAGUUGUCGGGGUGGGGAUUCGCGACGUUUACUGUGAAAAAUCAGAGUGUUCAACGCAGGCUUACGCCUUGAAUACAUUAGCAUGGAAUAAUGAGAUAGGACCUUGGCGGUCUAUUUUGUUGGUUUGCACGCCGAGGUAAUGAUUAAAAGGGACGGUUGGGGUUCUUCGUAUUCAAUUGUCAGAGGUGAAAUUCUUGGAUUUAUGGAAGACGAACUGCUGCGAAAGCGUCGAACAAGGACGUUCUCAUUAAUCAAGAACGAAAGUUAGGGGAUCGAAGACGAUUAGAUACCAU
RNAcentral lists this ribosomal RNA (426 nucleotides) under uncultured eukaryote. RNAcentral describes it as "SSU rRNA". It matches the Rfam family "Eukaryotic small subunit ribosomal RNA", at positions 592 to 1018 of the family's 1831-position model. The record is from RNAcentral.